RNAcentral lists this long non-coding RNA (661 nucleotides) under Homo sapiens (human). Its description in RNAcentral is "HSALNT0299326". The record is from RNAcentral. Lineage: Eukaryota; Metazoa; Chordata; Mammalia; Primates; Hominidae.
GCAGGGAGGGUAGAAAGGACUGCCAAGCAGAGAAAGAAACAUGAAUCAGAACCAGCUAAUACAGGAUGGGAGAGUACAUGUGCCAUUAUCAAACACACAGAGGAGUGAAUAAGAAGCAAAGGAUAUUGCCACGGUUUCUACGGGACUGAACAAAGGGGGACCCACACAGGAAUGAAAACUUAAAACAAAACAGCCACUAAGGAAGGCGCAGAGGGACUUCCUUUCGGCCCGAAACAGUAUCUGUGCUGCCAAAACUAGUGGGACACUCCCCUGCUGAACCUGAAAAAGCAAGGUACUAUGACAUACUACAUACCACCUAUGCAGAGGAACAUGUGACAAGAAGCUAUGGUAGUCUAUUCCAGCCUUAGGCAGGACCUGAGGGUGACCCCCAAGCAACAGUUUGCAAAAAGCAGGGUACUCAGUCCUGCUGAAGACAUGGAUGCUUCCAACUCCCUGGUUUAGCUUGGAUAUGGAUUCUUCCCCAUCCGACCAUCCAGAUGAAAACACACCCAGGCUAAUACCUUGAUUGCAACUGCAGCCUUUUGACAUGUUGUGUAGAGAGUCCCGCUACACCAUGCCAGACUUCUGACCCACAGAAACUGUGAGGGGAUAAGCACACAUUUUGUGGUAUGUUUGUGGUAAUUUGUUACACAGCAAUAAA